GAUGAACGCUGGCGGCGUGCCUAAUACAUGCAAGUCGAGCGAACAGACGAGGAGCUUGCUCCUCUGACGUUAGCGGCUGACGGGUGAGUAACACGUGGAUAACCUACCUAUAAGACUGGGAUAACUUCGGGAAACCGGAGCUAAUACCGGAUAAUAUAUUGAACCGCAUGGUUCAAUAGUUCAAGACGGUUUUGCUGUCACUUAUAGAUGGAUCCGCGCCGCAUUAGCUAGUUGGUAAGGUAACGGCUUACCAAGGCGACGAUGCGUAGCUGACCUGAGAGGGUGAUCGGCCACACUGGAACUGAGACACGGUCCAGACUCCUACGGGAGGCAGCAGUAGGGAAUAUUCCGCAAUGGGCGAAAGCCUGACGGAGCAACGCCGCGUGAGUGAUGAAGGUCUUCGGAUCGUAAAACUCUGUUAUUAGGGAAGAACAAAUGUGUAAGUAAAUAUGCACGUCUUGACGGUACCUAAUCAGAAAGCCACGGCUAACUACGUG
RNAcentral lists this ribosomal RNA (497 nucleotides) under uncultured bacterium. Its description in RNAcentral is "partial 16S ribosomal RNA". It matches the Rfam family "Bacterial small subunit ribosomal RNA", at positions 28 to 507 of the family's 1533-position model. The record is from RNAcentral.